AGUGAACGCUGGCGGUAGGCCUAACACAUGCAAGUCGAACGGCAGCACAGGAGAGCUUGCUCUCUGGGUGGCGAGUGGCGGACGGGUGAGGAAUACAUCGGAAUCUACUCUGUCGUGGGGGAUAACGUAGGGAGACUUACGCUAAUACCGCAUACGACCUACGGGUGAAAGCAGGGGAUCUUCGGACCUUGCGCGAUUGAAUGAGCCGAUGUCGGAUAGCUAGUUGGCGGGGUAAAGGCCCACCAAGGCGACGAUCCGUAGCUGGUCCGAGAGGAUGAUCAGCCACACUGGAACUGAGGCACGGUCCAGACUCCUACGGGAGGCAGCAGUGGGGAAUAUUGGACAAUGGGCGCAAGCCUGAUCCAGCCAUACCGCGUGGGUGAAGAAGGCCUUCGGGUUGUAAAGCCCUUUUGUUGGGAAAGAAAUCCAGCUGGCUAAUACCCGGUUGGGAUGACGGUACCCAAAGAAUAAGCACCGGCUAACUUCGUGCCAGCCGCCGCGGUAA
This 505-nucleotide ribosomal RNA is filed under the name uncultured bacterium. RNAcentral's name for it is "partial 16S ribosomal RNA". It matches the Rfam family "Bacterial small subunit ribosomal RNA", at positions 29 to 523 of the family's 1533-position model. The record is from RNAcentral.